Molecule: ribosomal RNA, 217 nt
Filed under: Clostridioides difficile
Lineage: Bacteria; Bacillati; Bacillota; Clostridia; Peptostreptococcales; Peptostreptococcaceae
Description: partial 23S ribosomal RNA
Rfam family: Bacterial large subunit ribosomal RNA
Source: RNAcentral
UGGAGCUUUACUGUAGCUUGACAUUGGGUCUUGGUACUACAUGUACAGGAUAGGUGGGAGGCUUUGAAACCAGGACGCCAGUUUUGGCGGAGCCAUCCUUGGGAUACCACCCUUGUAGUACUGGGACGCUAACCAUAGGCCAUGAAUCUGGUCUUGGGACACUGUCAGGUGGGCAGUUUGACUGGGGCGGUCGCCUCCCAAAAGGUAACGGAGGCGC